Molecule: long non-coding RNA, 9301 nt
Organism: Pseudopipra pipra
Lineage: Eukaryota; Metazoa; Chordata; Aves; Passeriformes; Pipridae
Exons: 3
Source: RefSeq, a predicted model, not a curated record
UCCCGCCGCGGAUCGAGCCGCUGAUUGACGGCGCGCGCGGCCCGGCCGCCAGCGAAUCCGGCGAGGGGGCGGGCGGGGCUGCGCGCGGCCGCUGGCCAACCCGAGGGCGCCUGCCUGCCUCGCGCGCUCGUAACUGACAGCGCGCGGGAAGCCCCCGAUCUGCCGCUUCCCCUGAGACGCGGCCACCCUUCCCCCCCCACUCCCUCUGGCCGCCCAAGGAGCGGGGAGGAGACGCUCCUACGGCUUCCAUAUGGAAGCCGGGGCCUAUUCCCUCCCCCGCCGAGCUACUCCUUUGUAACGGACUCCCGCGCCAGGCCUCUGCCUGCGCGCUGGCUCAGAGGCGGGAGGGGGAAGGGCGGCCCGGGGAUCGCUUCCACACCUGCUGUGUGGGGGCGGGAGCUGUCUCUUCCCUCCCCAUCGGCGCGGUUGCGGAGGCCGGCGCGCGCGGCACGCCGGGAUACGUAGUUCUGGCGGGGAGGGGGCCGGCUGUGGCGGCGGCGGCGCGUGCGCAGCGGGGGCGCGCGGGCGCCGUGUCCGGCAGGUGCCGCCGACGAGAGGCGGGCCGGGGAUCGGGGACGGGCACGGCCGGGCCGGGCUGGGCUGGGCUCGGCUCGGGGAGAGGGGUCGGGCCGGGCGGGGUCAGGUCAGGUCAGGUCAGGUCAGGUCAGCCGGGGUCAACCCGCAACCCUCAGCCUCGCCUCGCUGCAGAUCUACAGAGCGGGAGUCAGUCCCCAGCAGCCUGUGGUGGUCCAGGCUGUCCAUGGUUGGAUUAAAACGAGAUGAAUUGCGAUUGUAUUGUUCGACUCCGAUGCUCGUGCCGAUGUUCCCUGCGGAUCAGGCCCCGCUAUGCGUGACUGGUUCGGAGCAGCGGCUGUGCAAAACUAAGCUGAUCACGGUUGUGGUGUGGUGCAAGAAAUGGUGGAUCAGUAAUACCCAGCUCCCCAUGACAAAGCCUGUUAGCCCUACUCAGAUUUGGAAGAAAAUUGAUUGAAGUGGUGGACGUGUGCAGCUCUGUCAGUUUAAAUUUUCUGUUCUAUGGACCCAAAUUCUUUCUCAAGUGAAUACAGAGCACCUACUAACCUCAAGAUCACCAGUCUGCAAGAUUAUUAGAGGGAUGGAGCACCUCUUCUACAAGGGAAGGCUGAGAGAAUUGGGUUUGUUCAGCCAGGAAAAGAGACCUAUUUGUGACCUUCCAGUACCUGAUGGGAGCCUACAAGAAAGAUGGAGAGGGACUUUUUACAAGAGCAUUUAGUGACAGGAAAAGGGGGAAUGGCGUCAAUCUGAAAGAGGGUAGGUUUAGACUAGAUAUUAGGAAAAAAGUCUUUACUGUGAGGGUGGUGAGGCACUGGAACAUUGUGCCCAGAGAAGUGGUGGAUGCCCCAUCCCUGGAAGUGUUUAAGGCCGGGCUGUAUGGAAUUCUGAGAAGCCUGGUCUAGUGGAAGGUGUGCCCCAUGGCAAAGGGGUUGGAACUAGACGAUUUUUAAGGUCCCUUGCAACCCGGGCCAUUCUAUGGUUCUGUGAUAAGUCAGUGACUCAAGUGACAUUUCUUUACCAGCUGUUCAACAAUUUCAUUCUUCAAAGGGAUGAGGCCACCCUCAGUCUCCAAUCCAGGCCUCCAGCACACCUGGAAGGGAGGAAAUGUAGAAGUACCAUUGUAGAGUAAGAAAGUAAUCAGAAAUAAGCAUGGCACGGGCUGUUUCCAGAUGUCACACACAGGUCACAAGUAGAAAAGGAUCCUACCAAUGCUGAAUAAAUUGUGUUUAUCUGUGGUAAUAUCUGACAGGGCAGUGCCCUCAUAGUCAGUGUACAAUCCCCCACACCCAAGCAGGGCUGAGGUUGUGGCAGGACCUGCAGAUGGUUCAGUGGUUCAGAUGAUCAGGAGAUGGAGGCACAUCCCCCACAGGGCCAGGUCUGGGCCCAGGGCUGAGCCCCACCAGAGCUCCAGCCACGGGGCAGUGGGUGGGGGUCCUAGGUGAGGGUGUUCAGGGCAUCACAGCCUGCUUGUGCCCUCAGGGCUCUUGAGGCAGAGUAUAGAGCACUUCCUGAAUGAGAAGUUGUGUGAAGAAUGGGUGAAGGUACUAUUAAGGUCACUCUUUUUUAUCAAGAGACAGAUGUUUUAAGUCCUAUGACAGCUUUUAAACUUUCACUGGAUUUCCAUCUGAGACUGUAGGUACAGUGCUUUUGAAAAUUUGACUCUAGGGUGCAAAGGGUAAAAACUGUCUCAACUCAGAGAUUGAUUGAAGCAACAGAUAAAAGAUGGUGGUGGUGUAGGUGGUUUCAGUGGGGGCAUCACGAUUUUAAUUUUUUAUUUUUACCAUCCACAGUUACUCGUAUACCACCUACUCUUUCCUAAGUGUCGCUCUUGCUCAAAUUCUUUCUGCCAGCUUAAGCUUUCUGAGUCUGCUUCUUUCAGCAUUGUUCCCACAUGAACUAAUACUUUCCCUCUGCACCCUGAUACCAGUGGGCUUUUGAUAGAAGUGAGCAGUAGUCACCUGUUGAGUUAUAUAAAAAUAGGAUCAGAUCUGAGAAUGUAUGUGUGUUGGCACAGGAGUCCCAACUGCUAUGGGAACAUAUGAAAGAAAAAUAUCAGAAAAGGAAAAAAUAAAGCAAAAAGCUUUUGUCACUGCUUUCUUUCAGGUUCAGAACUUUAAAAGUGUGUUGUCACCCAGGAAGAGAGCACAGCAUGGAAAUGUGUGGGUGAGCAGAGACCCACUGAAAUAGGAGUUUCCUGGCAAGAUGUAACUCUGGCAUAGUAUCACAUGAGGGUGGCUGGUUUGCACAACAGCCCAAACUAAGAAAAUCCACUUAGUGCUGAGUCUCUACUGCUUGGCAUCUCUCACAGUGUGCAUAUAUUUUGUUUAAAUGAAACAGCUUAGCUCAUUGUUUUUGAUAUUUUAAUUAUCCUUUCUCUGUAUCCAUAUGUGUAUUUUCUGUCUCUCAUGUUAAUCAGUUCAACAUUUUGUUUCUGUUUUCCUAGUCUUCUCAUUUUCUUUAUUUUCUCCAGCUCUUUCCUGUGUGAAUGUAAUUGCUUUUCUUGUUCUUUCUACUUUCUUUCCUGGUUCUAAUACCCACUCUUUUCUCCACCUCAAAAAUAUUCUCUCACCCGAGUUCCCUAUCUGUAUUUUGCAUUAUUCCCUCCCCCCUCUGUUUUAGGCUCCCAAACUAUCAUGUAUCUUCUUCUGUGUCCCUUCUGUCUUGCUCUCUAAGCUGUCCUUAGCAUUCGUUGAUUUUUCACCUAACACACUGACCGAUAUUUUCAGACCUGUUUAAGCAUGGUUCUCUAAAGCACAGUGAGGCUUGUAAGGCUGAACGAGCAACACCCAAAUAUCUUUACAAAGGUAGCAUGAAGGGGGAGGGAGAGACAGCUAUCUGCAUGCUCUAGUUUCAUUGGUUACCCUCUCUACUCUCAGGCAGCACUUAUGCAGGUUGUCUUUGGACAGAGAGAGACAAGAGGCUGGCAGCUGCAAACAGCAGAGAUGGUGAUGAGACAGUGGCUUCACAAAACUAUAAGUCCAGUUGUAGGGUACCUUGUAUUAGAUUAAAAAUGCUGCAGCCCUUAAACACAGGGUGCUGAACUUGUGUAAGACCACACUGUUUGACUGAAGCUGAGGUAGUGGUGAGAAUAUUUAAGUAGUACUUUAUCUAAAGGAGUAAUUUUUAUCUGGCAGGACUGUGUAAGAUAAAGUAACAGAUAGCCAUAUUUCUGAACGAAGCUUCUUUGCCAGACCAAAGGUUCUUUUGCCAAUUCUUUCAUGCUCUUUUUGUGCUCCUCAGGCAGCUUUGUCAUGGAACCCAUAUGUUUCCAAGAAAUAUAUGCAAGUUUGGGGUGCAUAUUUUUCCUCUUUUAUUUCUGGUGGUUUUGUUGUAAACUGUCUCAACUCCAUCAACUGCAGCUUUGAAGAACUUGGUGAUGGCAUAGUGUUAUUGACCAGACAGAGCCUGGACCAGAGCCACAGUGGAAAUUGUGUACUUGGCAAGCGUGCUCCUUUGCCAUUGUUCCACAUGAUCCCAAGUGGACCAAGUCACAGGUAUCUGACCUACCUGGAUUCUGUGGAAAACAUCUAUCGACAACACCAUGGGUGCUCAAGGUUCCUGCCUGCCACUUGGCAUCCCUGUGCUCCUCUGGGCUUCUGGAGAUGGCUCUUUGGUGGGCUGACAGCCUCUGUGAUGGACCUAAGGGUAGCUUGACAGGGUAUAAUCUGGGUUCCUCCUCCUUCUGCUGUCUCUCUGAGCAUCUUUCUGGGUGUGCAGAAAAAAAAGUUCCUGACCAGCUCAGCACUUCCCAGCCGCACACACAAGUUAUCCAUUAUUUGCCAGUUCUGCUAUUUGGCUUCUGGGGAGAGGAUGCUUGUGCCAAUAGCUGUGCUGCAGUUUGGGAAGAACCUAUCAAGCUUGCUGAUCUUCUUCAUCAAGUGUCUGAUCUUCUAAUUCCCUAGAAGAAGACCCAAAAAUCUGAAGAAUGUGCUUGCGAUGUGACUUAUCAGUAGAUACCAACACACUCCAGAAAAGUACCACUGAAAGUAUCACUUUAGCAUGGAAAAACCUGCCCUGCCUAUAGAUUUUUUUAGCUCAUGUUUACUCUUAGUGAAGGAACACAGUAGUGUCAGCAAUGAGUGCAAGUGAUCUCACUGGCCAAGAAAGCCUUACUCCUCACGCCCUUGCUCCCUCUCUUCCUUGUCCACAUGUUCCUGUCUCCUCCAGCAGCCAUCCUUCCUUGUUCCAGUUAUAACAGGCUUUACUGUAGGUUGAUGUGACCCACUUCUGACUAAAAGUGGCUCCCAGAAAGACCUCAUUAGCUCUGGAGCUAGCAUGGUGCAAAUGUCAGAGUGUGUGGUUAGUGCUGGGGCAGAAAGGAAGGGCAGGGAGCAGCAUGUUCAUCAGCUGUGGUGGGGUGCUAAUUCAGCUGCCUAGAGCUGCAAAACCAUCCUUCAAAUCUCAACAGUCUGUCUUGCAAACAAAGGCAGUGAAAAUACUAAUCAGUAAGGGUCUAUAAACUGUGGUUAACACUGCUGCUGCAAUUACUAAUGUAGGAAAAACUGGAAGGUAAUGUGAUUCAGGUCUUUCUUCACUGCAGAUAUACCACUGAUAACAGAGUAAUAUGGAGUUGAAACAUAAUUGGAACACUAAGGAAAGCUUGAGCUAUUUAUAGUAUUUAAUAAUUUAAUAGUACAGAGUGCACUGAUUGUAGUACUAUUCAUUUUUCUAUGUAAUUUAAUUAUUAUUUCUCUUUCUUAAUUAAUAAUGCAAGAGUGUGUUUUUGUAUAGCACUUCUUUUCCCUAAUUCUCAUUUUGCACCAGAAUUCAAUCAAGAUCUUAUUGUUCAUAAAAAAUACAUACAUACCUGCAUACAACAUUCUGAAAAGUUGUUUGAGAUUCUACGUGUAAUCUGUGAGAUCCCUGUGAGACUCAUAUAGGGGAUCUUAUCACUAAAUGUUUAUUUCCGGAUCUGUAAGAACCCUUUAAUUUUUUACACUCUUAUUCUCACAACACUCAGGUAAAACAGGAAGUUUUAUUUCUCUGACUACAGCUGGGAUAUCAAAGCACAGAGAUGUUAAAGUCUGUAUUCAAAAACCAUAUUUAAGAGCAUGGAUCCCACUAGCUGACUUGCCUAGAGUGUUAAGAAAAGCCUUUGUGGAACAAGCACUGAACUUACAUCUGCCAAAUCCAAGAGGAUCUUCCUUACUACUGGACUUUGUUUUCUCACUAAGAUUGCAAUAAAUACUUCUUUCAUAGCUGGGUUUAGAGUACUUUAUUGAGUGUGAGGAAAGAUUUUUAUGUAAGGGGAGUUUUGAAUGUAGGUCACAGGAGGACAGAAAGUAUAUAAAAUAGCUGCUGAUGCACAUGAUAGCUUUUAUGGCCAAGGAAAAUAAAAGAUGUAAUGUUUUGGAAAAAGAUAUUAUCCAUGAAAUCCAAAACAAACUUGAAUUAAGUCAGGAGAGAAUAGGCAUUCCUCUGGAAAGAUAAAGGAGGUACUCCAUAGAUUAGCUUAUCAUUGGUCUAGAACAAGUUGUUGCUGUUACUUAGAAAGCCAAUAUGGUGACAGUCUGUGCACCUAUUUGAAAUGUAUAACAUGGAAAAAAUAAAAUAAUCCAUUUAAGGUUAAAUAUAAAAUGUGAAGAAAUAGGAUGCUGUUAUCUUUGUGUUAUAGGCUUGCUUUUCUCUAUUUAUGUUAAAAUAUGUGUGUUUCAGAUAAUUUAUGAAUCUAAUCAUGACUCUAAGUUUUGUAGCUCUAUUUUAUAUGAACUCAGUUUGGUGGAGAUAUUUAGAAGGGACCUGCAUGCAUUUUUUUGUGGCUAAGAAAGCAAAGUUUAAAUGGAAGUGUGUAAAGUGAGGAACGAAUAUUUUCCGAAGGAAUUUACUCUAAUAUGAAAGAAAUUCUUGGUGGGACCUCUGAUUUCCUAUGCUCACUGUAGGAGACCAGCCUAAAGGGGAAAAAAGGUGAAUUCCUAAUACAUGACAUAGACAGAAUAAGCUUUAUUCAGAUAUGCCUUUUUCUGGGAGUUUUAAGUAUCAUAGGUACUUGGGACUUUUAGAUCUGUGCAUGAUCUUCCCCAGCCCUAUAUGUGGUGUGCAGAAACACGCAUGGAUAUGUUGACGUCGCCUUUGAGGUUGGUCCAAAGGUUGACUUCAGGGUCCUUUCUCAGGACGCUCAGAAAUGCUGUCCAUUGGUAGCCCACAGAAUUCAUCAGAAUUACAGAAUCACAGAAUAUGCUGAGUUGGAAGGGACUCACAAGGAUCAUCGAGUCCAACCCUUAGCCCUGUAUAGGACCAUCCCCAAGAGUCACACCAUGUGCCUGACAGUAUCGUCCAAAUGCUCUUGAACUCUGUCACGCUUGGUGCUGUGACCACUUCCCUGGGGAGCCUGUCCCACUAACCAGUCACCCUCUCAGUGAAGAAUCUCUUUCUUACAUCCAACCUAAACCUUCCCUGACACAACUUCAGGCCAUUCCCUCACAUCCUGUCACUGGUCACCACAGAGAAGAGAUCAGGAACUGCCCCUCCUCUUCCCCUCACGAGGAAGUUGUAACUGCAAUGAGAUCUCCCCUCAGUCUCCUCUUCUCCAGGCUGAACAGACCAAGUAACCUCAGCCGCUCCUCAUACGACUUCCCCUCAAGGCCCUUCACUAUCUUCAUUGCCCUCCUUUGGAUUCUCUCUCAUAGAUUAAUAUCUUUCUUAUAUUGCCGUGCCCAAAACUGCACACAAUAUUCAAGGUGAGGCCACCCCAGUGCAGAGCAGAGUGGGACAAUCCGCUCCCUCAACUGGCUGGCAAUACUGUGCUGAGUUUUGUGUCAUCUACAAACUUGCUUAGUAUCCCUUCCAGUCCUGUCUCCAAGUGACUUAUGAAGAUGUUGAAGAGAAUGAGGCCCAGGAUGGAGCCCUGUGGGGCCCCACUAGUGACAGGUCCCCAGUCUGAUGUUACCCCAUUCACUAUUACCCUCUGUGCUCGACCCAUGAGCCUGUUGCUCACCUACCACAUGAUGUGUUUAUCCAGCUGCGGGCUGGAUAUUUUGUCCAGAAGGAUCUUGUGAGAGACAGGAUCAAAAGCUUUACUGAAAUCCAAAAAGAUUAUGUCAAUUGGCUUCCCUUGAUCAACUAAGUGGGUUACCUUGUCAUAAAAGGAAAUCAAAUUUGAUAAGCAGGACUUCCCUCUCAUGAAGCUGUGCUGGCUGUGACUGUGUCAUCUUUCAGGUGUUUUUCAAUACUUCCCUGAAUAAUCUUCUCCAUGACUUUACCAGGCACUGAAGUGAGACUCAGCGGCCUGUAGUUUUGAGGGUUCUCCUUCUUGCCCUUCUUAGAAAUUGGGACAACAUUCCCCAGUUUUCAAUCAUCUGGGAUCUCUCUGGAUUCCCAAGACCGUUCACCAGCUUCAUGCACAGCAAGGUACAAAGAGGUGAAGAACACCUGACUUACAGACUGUAGGAAGCCACUUUCAGAUUCUAUGUGGAUGGCUGCUCUGUGGAUCUCCAAAAUCCUGUAAAUCUCUGAUAUUAUUUUGAUCUAAGUGUAAAGGUUGUUAUAGAUGGACAAAAUACACACUAGUCUUACUUUCCAGAAUAUAGCUUAACUCAACAAACCUAUUUAUAUUUUCAAAAUGUAAUAAUUGACUUUUUAUUUUGUUUUAAUUUUUUAUUAUGACUUUUUAUUAAUGAAACUGAUUUUAUGAAAUGCAUAGUAUAUAGAAAAUUACUAUUUAACUUUUUAUUUUACCAGUUCUAUGAGUAAUGUAUUUUCAAAAAAAUUUUAAUAUAUUCUAUAGAUAUAUGCUGUUUAUAUUUGCUAUAAUAGUAAAUUGUUCUUUUCAGGACAUUCAGAGUAUUUAAUUUAACAAGUGAAAACUAGUUUUAAAUGGCAGAACUGAAGACAGAUAUUAUUAGGUAAUCUUGAAACAACAAAAAUAUUAAAUACAUGCAAAUUGUCAGAAAGUAGCAAUGUAUUUUAAAAAAUGAAAAACAUGUGUUGAACAUAUGCAGUGCUUUUUUUGUUCUUAUACUUGUCCAGGUUAAUACUGUUCCAGCAGUUUUACAAAUAACAAUCUGUUUUCACUGCAUUUCAUCUUUCUUCUUUUCCCCUAGCAAUAUUCCUGGUAAUGCCCACACAAGUAAACACUGACACAUUUGAAUAAAAAAACCCCAGAGGGUGAAUUUUUCCAAGGUGUAUUUCCAUAAGCCCCUUUUCUAACAUCUCACUGUCCCCUGAGAAGGGGAAGUAUUGCUCCUCCUGUGCUCACAGGGCCUCAUUGCACUGUUGGCCCCACACAGUCCUUUCUCUUUCCCUUUCUCUUCUUGCUUUAAUGCUCAUCAGUCCCCUCCCCAAGCCAACUGAACUCACUAUUUAAGAAGAGAAUAUUCUUCUUUUCUGGGCUUAUGUGAUGUGUUACUGAACAGAAAGGUCACAGAGGGGUCCUCAGUGCUACCUGCAUGGUGGGAGGGGGUGCUAGAGAUCAUGGAGGAAGGGAAAGACAAGGAGUGUUUUCCCUUUUCAGUGGUGAGGAGUGGUUUCAUCAGCUCAUUCUGCUUAGUGUACCUUCACCCUCCAAAUUGGUUUAGUGAAAAAGGAAAGGGCUUUUUUUCGCUAGGUCAAUAAGAGUGAAGACAGAUAGAAGGGGAGCUCCUAGGGGGACUAUAGCCUGGGUGGCUCCCAACAGAAUGCUUACUGUGAUUAAACAGUCAUGAAGACAUUGUGUCGAUAUGAUAUUUAAUACUGUACUAAACCAGUAAGAAGUUUCAGAAAUUCUUCGAUCAGUUUAUCUUGAAAUUAUUUAUCUGGAGAUGCUCUAAUAAAGGCUUAUUACAACCAGGAA